Molecule: ribosomal RNA, 492 nt
Filed under: uncultured bacterium
Lineage: Bacteria
Description: partial 16S ribosomal RNA
Rfam family: Bacterial small subunit ribosomal RNA
Source: RNAcentral
AGUGAACGCUGGCGGUAGGCCUAACACAUGCAAGUCGAACGGCAGCACAGUAAGAGCUUGCUCUUACGGGUGGCGAGUGGCGGACGGGUGAGGAAUACAUCGGAAUCUACUUUUUCGUGGGGGAUAACGUAGGGAAACUUACGCUAAUACCGCAUACGAUCUACGGGUGAAAGCAGGGGAUCUUCGGACCUUGCGCGAUUGAAUGAGCCGAUGUCGGAUUAGCUAGUUGGCGGGGUAAAGGCCCACCAAGGCGACGAUCCGUAGCUGGUCUGAGAGGAUGAUCGGCCACACUGGAACUGAGACACGGUCCAGACUCCUACGGGAGGCAGCAGUGGGGAAUAUUGGGCAAUGGGCGCAAGCCUGAUCCAGCCAUACCGCGUGGGUGAAGAAGGCCUUCGGGUUGUAAAGCCCUUUUGUUGGGAAAGAAAAGCAGCAGGUUAAUACCCCGCUGUUCUGACGGUACCCAAUGAAUAAGCACCGGCUAACUUCGUG